RNAcentral lists this non-coding RNA (30 nucleotides) under Mus musculus (house mouse). Lineage: Eukaryota; Metazoa; Chordata; Mammalia; Rodentia; Muridae. The record is from RNAcentral.
UAUUCAGUCUUUCUUUGCCAUUGAUACUCC